RNAcentral lists this ribosomal RNA (469 nucleotides) under Metschnikowia reukaufii. Its description in RNAcentral is "eukaryotic LSU rRNA". It matches the Rfam family "Eukaryotic large subunit ribosomal RNA", at positions 120 to 654 of the family's 3401-position model. The record is from RNAcentral. Lineage: Eukaryota; Fungi; Ascomycota; Pichiomycetes; Serinales; Metschnikowiaceae.
AUUCGAAAUCCUUCGGGAAUUGUAUUUUGAAGGUGGGUUUGGUUAGGAAAAGUUACUUUAAGUCCAUUGGAAAAUGGCGCCAUGGAGGGUGAUAGCCCCGUAAAAGUAUCCCUUUUCCUUUUAUCCAUUCCCUCCAAAGAGUCGAGUUGUUUGGGAAUGCAGCUCUAAGUGGGUGGUAAAUUCCAUCUAAAGCUAAAUAUUGGCGAGAGACCGAUAGCGAACAAGUACAGUGAUGGAAAGAUGAAAAGCACUUUGAAAAGAGAGUGAAAAAGUACGUGAAAUUGUUUUGAAAGGGAAGGGCUUGCAAGCAGACACAACCUCGGUUGGGCCAGCAUCGGAGUGGGGGGAGACAAAAAAGAAAAGGAAUGUAACUCUUUCAAGUAUAAUACCCUUUUUCUCAUAUCUCCACCCCUUUCCAAGGCCGGCAAUUCUUCAGGGAUCCUGCCUUAUUGUUUGCAAUUCCCCGUCU